UAUCUCUCGACAAUGACAGCUUACGUAAGAUUAUUUGUUUCAUUUUUCGUUCGCUUUCCUGUAGGUUGUAGGAAUUUAUUUCUUGUUAUCAUAUAUAUUUAUAUAAAUUUUUUGUCAACGAAAGAGUAAAGAGCAUUCUUAUGUUUUCUUACUUAAAUAUUACUAUACUUUAAGAGAUUUUACAUUUUUUUAUUAUGUUUUGUGUAAAAUAUAAAAACAUAUUUUACAUAUUUAAUAAAGUAAUAAUGUAAUUACUAAUUUAAUAUUAAUGUUGAUAUUUUUUAUAUUAUAUGAAUAAACUUCAGUGUAAUACUCAUGAAUGAAAUUGUACAAUAUGAAAGCUGCUAAAAGAAGUAAAAAAUUGUUUUAUUGGAUAUAUAAAAAUGUUAAUAUUCACAGAUAUAAAUAUCUUGUUUAGACGAAAAGAAUUAGUAUUGUAUGAUGAGAUGUAUGUAUUAAUCAAAUAUAUUUUUUUGUAUUUUAUAAGACACGCAGUGUCUUACAAAAUUUUGUGUAACAAGUAUAUUAUACUGUUUGUAAUAGUUAAAAAAUGGAAAAUGUUAUUUUCGUUUUAUAUGGCAUUUAUUUGACAUAAUUAUCUUUCUGGUAACUAAUAUAUCUUCAUAUAUUUCCUUAGCUUUUCUCAUUGUUAGUAUAUUGACUAAUCAUAGGGGGUCUGAUAACGUAAAUACCAUUGAUAAACAUUACACGCGUUAUUAAGUAGUACCAGACUUUUCUGACGCAAAUGUGGAUAUUUAAUCGGAAUCAAAUAAGAAUACCUGGAAAACAACGCGUAAGAGACAUCGCAUUUGAUUUCUGCGUAUAGUGGAAUAUUUUAAAGAUUUUAUCACAAGCACCUUCUAUUCGUGACAUUGUAUCUUGAGAUGUAAACAAAAUAAAUAAUAUGGAAAAUAUUAUUUAAUAUAAUUUUCUCGAUGUAUUUUACGCAGAUAUAUUUUAUACAUGUAUAUGAGCGUGCAGAUAUAUAUCUAUAUACAUAAAACACUUCAAUAUUUUUUAUUUAAUAUUUUGUAGGUAGUUGCAUAAUUAUUUAUUAAAAAUCUUUAUGAGCAUCGCUUUGUAGGUUUCUACCUUAACAAUUAAUUAUGUUUAUUCCAUUUAUAUUGUUCGCAUCAAUAAUGUCGUGCGACUUUUUUUAUUUUCGCGACUCUGUCGACCAUAUCGCGCAAAUUAAUUCCUUUUCAUAAAUUCAACGCGAAGGAGCGUUUCAUAUUCAACGCCAUAACUCGAAACGUGUUCCUCUGUACGUGUGUAAUCUCGAAUCUCAGACUCAUCAUUUUCAGCCGCGUCAGCUUAUGGUACGUGAGACCGUAAGAAUUAGCUAAGUGAGUAGCUACGGUAGUAGCUCUCCGGCUUUUACGGAUGCAGAACCAGUAGUGGAGGGUGUAGUGAACGAGUCAUAUGAAAUUAACAAACAGCUUAUCCUAUCAUCAGGGAACAAGAUAAAAGGUUUAUAAAGUACGGAAGUAAUAGUAUUAUUAAUAAGGCAAUAUACAUUCUAUCAGGAUCAUGUUCGUUAAUAAUACAAUGCGUAAUAAAAUUGAAACAAUAUA
Long non-coding RNA from Monomorium pharaonis (pharaoh ant), 1574 nucleotides. RefSeq lists it as uncharacterized. The transcript has 2 exons. Lineage: Eukaryota; Metazoa; Arthropoda; Insecta; Hymenoptera; Formicidae. The record is from RefSeq and is a predicted model, not a curated record.